This 253-nucleotide ribosomal RNA is filed under the name uncultured bacterium. Its description in RNAcentral is "partial 16S ribosomal RNA". It matches the Rfam family "Bacterial small subunit ribosomal RNA", at positions 524 to 776 of the family's 1533-position model. The record is from RNAcentral.
UACAGAGGUCCCAAGCGUUGUUCGGAUUCACUGGGCGUAAAGGGUGCGUAGGUGGCUUUGUAAGUCAGUGGUGAAAUCUUAGAGCUUAACUCUAAAACUGCCAUUGAUACUGCUUAGCUUGAAUCACGUCGAGGUGGAUGGAAUAUUACAUGUAGCGGUGAAAUGCUUAGAUAUGUAAUAGAACACCGAUUGCGAAGGCAGUUCACUAGGCGUGUAUUGACACUGAGGCUCGAAAGCGUGGGGAGCAAACAGG